RNAcentral lists this ribosomal RNA (492 nucleotides) under uncultured bacterium. RNAcentral describes it as "partial 16S ribosomal RNA". It matches the Rfam family "Bacterial small subunit ribosomal RNA", at positions 29 to 507 of the family's 1533-position model. The record is from RNAcentral.
AGUGAACGCUGGCGGUAGGCCUAACACAUGCAAGUCGAACGGCAGCACAGUAAGAGCUUGCUCUUACGGGUGGCGAGUGGCGGACGGGUGAGGAAUACAUCGGAAUCUACUUUUUCGUGGGGGAUAACGUAGGGAAACUUACGCUAAUACCGCAUACGACCUACGGGUGAAAGCAGGGGAUCUUCGGACCUUGCGCGAUUGAAUGAGCCGAUGUCGGAUUAGCUAGUUGGCGGGGUAAAUGCCCACCAAGGCGACGAUCCGUAGCUGGUCUGAGAGGAUGAUAAGCCACACUGGAACUGAGACACGGUCCAGACUCCUACGGGAGGCAGCAGUGGGGAAUAUUGGACAAUGGGCGCAAGCCUGAUCCAGCCAUACCGCGUGGGUGAAGAAGGCCUUCGGGUUGUAAAGCCCUUUUGUUGGGAAAGAAAAGCAGCAGGCUAAUACCCCGCUGUUCUGACGGUACCCAAAGAAUAAGCACCGGCUAACUUCGUG